GAUGAACGCUAGCGAUAGGCUUAACACAUGCAAGUCGAGGGGCAGCAUGGUCUUAGCUUGCUAAGACUGAUGGCGACCGGCGCACGGGUGCGUAACGCGUAUGCAACUUGCCUCACAGAGGGGGAUAACCCGUCGAAAGACGGACUAAUACCGCGUACACUUGGGAUAGGGCAUCCUGACCCAAGGAAAUGAAAUUCGCUGUGAGAUAGGCAUGCGUCCCAUUAGCUAGUUGGUGAGGUAACGGCUCACCAAGGCGACGAUGGGUAGGGGAACUGAGAGGUUGAACACCCAGAAUGGUACUGAGAAAAGGACGAGACUCCGAAGGGAGGCAGCAGUGAGGAAUAUUGGUAAAUGGGCGAGAGCCUGAAACAGCCAAGUCGCGUGAAGGAUGACUGUCUUAUGGAUUGUAAACUUCUUUUAUACGGGAAUAACAAGAGUAACGUGUGGCUCCCUGAAUGUACCGUAUGAAUAAGCAUCGGCUAACUCCGUG
RNAcentral lists this ribosomal RNA (490 nucleotides) under uncultured bacterium. Its description in RNAcentral is "partial 16S ribosomal RNA". It matches the Rfam family "Bacterial small subunit ribosomal RNA", at positions 28 to 507 of the family's 1533-position model. The record is from RNAcentral.